CGGUGAAUACGUUCCCGGACCUUGCACACACCGCCCGUCAAGCCAUGGAAGCUGGGUGUACCUAAACGUCGGUAACCGCAAGGAGCCGCCUACGGGUAAACUAGUAACUGGGGCU
Molecule: ribosomal RNA, 115 nt
Filed under: uncultured bacterium
Lineage: Bacteria
Description: partial 16S ribosomal RNA
Rfam family: Bacterial small subunit ribosomal RNA
Source: RNAcentral